Molecule: ribosomal RNA, 290 nt
Filed under: uncultured bacterium
Lineage: Bacteria
Description: partial 16S ribosomal RNA
Rfam family: Bacterial small subunit ribosomal RNA
Source: RNAcentral
UACGAGGGGGGCGAGCGUUGUUCGGAAUUAUUGGGCGUAAAGGGCUCGUAGCGGAUCGCCAGUUUGACGUGAAAUCUCCACCGCUCACCGGGGAGAGGUCGUUGAAUACUACGGAUCUGGAGUUCGGCAGAGGACCAUGGAAUUUCGGGUGUAGCGGUGGAAUGCGUAGAUAUCCGAAAGAACACCGGUGGCGAAGGCGGUGGAUCUGGGCCUGAACUGACGCGUGAGGAGCGAAAGCCAGGGGAGCAAAGCGGGAUUAAGCAAACCCCGUGUACGUCCGAAACCAAAGA